RNAcentral lists this ribosomal RNA (465 nucleotides) under Vreelandella stevensii. Its description in RNAcentral is "partial 16S ribosomal RNA". It matches the Rfam family "Bacterial small subunit ribosomal RNA", at positions 338 to 795 of the family's 1533-position model. The record is from RNAcentral. Lineage: Bacteria; Pseudomonadati; Pseudomonadota; Gammaproteobacteria; Oceanospirillales; Halomonadaceae.
CCUACGGGAGGCUGCAGUGGGGAAUAUUGGACAAUGGGGGCAACCCUGAUCCAGCCAUGCCGCGUGUGUGAAGAAGGCCCUCGGGUUGUAAAGCACUUUCAGUGAGGAAGAACGCCUGGUGGUUAAUACCCAUCAGGAAAGACAUCACUCACAGAAGAAGCACCGGCUAACUCCGUGCCAGCAGCCGCGGUAAUACGGAGGGUGCGAGCGUUAAUCGGAAUUACUGGGCGUAAAGCGCGCGUAGGUGGCUUGAUAAGCCGGAUGUGAAAGCCCCGGGCUCAACCUGGGAACGGCAUCCGGAACUGUCAAGCUAGAGUGCAGGAGAGGAAGGUAGAAUUCCCGGUGUAGCGGUGAAAUGCGUAGAGAUCGGGAGGAAUACCAGUGGCGAAGGCGGCCUUCUGGACUGACACUGACACUGAGGUGCGAAAGCGUGGGUAGCAAACAGGAUUAGAUACCCUUGUAGUC